Molecule: ribosomal RNA, 780 nt
Filed under: Microbacterium aurantiacum
Lineage: Bacteria; Bacillati; Actinomycetota; Actinomycetes; Micrococcales; Microbacteriaceae
Description: partial 16S ribosomal RNA
Rfam family: Bacterial small subunit ribosomal RNA
Source: RNAcentral
AUGAACGCUGGCGGCGUGCUUAACACAUGCAAGUCGAACGGUGAAGCCAAGCUUGCUUGGUGGAUCAGUGGCGAACGGGUGAGUAACACGUGAGCAACCUGCCCUGGACUCUGGGAUAAGCGCUGGAAACGGUGUCUAAUACUGGAUAUGAGCUCUCAUCGCAUGGUGGGGGUUGGAAAGAUUUUUCGGUCUGGGAUGGGCUCGCGGCCUAUCAGCUUGUUGGUGAGGUAAUGGCUCACCAAGGCGUCGACGGGUAGCCGGCCUGAGAGGGUGACCGGCCACACUGGGACUGAGACACGGCCCAGACUCCUACGGGAGGCAGCAGUGGGGAAUAUUGCACAAUGGGCGGAAGCCUGAUGCAGCAACGCCGCGUGAGGGAUGACGGCCUUCGGGUUGUAAACCUCUUUUAGCAGGGAAGAAGCGAGAGUGACGGUACCUGCAGAAAAAGCGCCGGCUAACUACGUGCCAGCAGCCGCGGUAAUACGUAGGGCGCAAGCGUUAUCCGGAAUUAUUGGGCGUAAAGAGCUCGUAGGCGGUUUGUCGCGUCUGCUGUGAAAUCCCGAGGCUCAACCUCGGGCCUGCAGUGGGUACGGGCAGACUAGAGUGCGGUAGGGGAGAUUGGAAUUCCUGGUGUAGCGGUGGAAUGCGCAGAUAUCAGGAGGAACACCGAUGGCGAAGGCAGAUCUCUGGGCCGUAACUGACGCUGAGGAGCGAAAGGGUGGGGAGCAAACAGGCUUAGAUACCCUGGUAGUCCACCCCGUAAACGUUGGGAACUAGUUG